CCUACGGGUGGCAGCAGUGGGGGAUAUUGCACAAUGGGGGAAACCCUGAUGCAGCGACGCCGCGUGGGCGAAGAAGUAUUUCGGGAUGUAAAGCCCUAUCAGCAGGGCAGAAGAAAUGACGGUACCUGAGUAAGAAGCACCGGCUAAAUACGUGCCAGCCGCCGGGGUAAUACGUAUGGUGCACGCGUUAUCCGGAUUUACUGGGGGUAACGGGAUCGCAGGGGGCACGGCAAGCCUGAUGUGAACGCCCGCGGGCCAACCGCGGGACUGCGUUUGGAACUACCGGGCUGGAGUGCCGGAGAGGUAGGCGGAAUUCCUAGUGUAGCGGUGAAAUGCGGAGAGAUUAGGAGGAACACCAGUGGCGAAGGCGGCCUACUGGACGGUGACUGACGCUGAGGCUCGAAAGCGUGGGGAGCAAACAGGAUUAGAUACCCCUGUAGUC
RNAcentral lists this ribosomal RNA (442 nucleotides) under uncultured bacterium. Its description in RNAcentral is "partial 16S ribosomal RNA". It matches the Rfam family "Bacterial small subunit ribosomal RNA", at positions 338 to 795 of the family's 1533-position model. The record is from RNAcentral.